UACGGAGGGUGCAAGCGUUGUUCGGAUUUACUGGGCGUAAAGGGCGCGUAGGCGGCAUAUUAAGUCAUCUGUGAAAUCUCCGAGCUUAACUCGGAACUGUCAGCUGAUACUGAUGUGCUAGAGUGCGGAAGGGGCAAUCGGAAUUCUUGGUGUAGCGGUGAAAUGCGUAGAUAUCAAGAGGAACACCUGAGGUGAAGACGGGUUGCUGGGCCGACACUGACGCUGAGUGCGCGAAAGCCAGGGGAGCAAACGGG
This 254-nucleotide ribosomal RNA is filed under the name uncultured bacterium. Its description in RNAcentral is "partial 16S ribosomal RNA". It matches the Rfam family "Bacterial small subunit ribosomal RNA", at positions 524 to 776 of the family's 1533-position model. The record is from RNAcentral.